Molecule: non-coding RNA, 73 nt
Organism: Podarcis lilfordi (Lilford's wall lizard)
Lineage: Eukaryota; Metazoa; Chordata; Lepidosauria; Squamata; Lacertidae
Source: the annotation of a GenBank genome assembly
ACACAGAUAGCUCAGUUGGUAGAGCAUGAGACUCUUAAGCUCCAGGUCGUGGGUUUGAGCCCCACGUUGGGCA